UAGCUCAGUCAGUGAAGCAUCUGCCUGUAAUGCAGGAGACCCGGGUUUGAUUCCUGG
Molecule: transfer RNA, 57 nt
Filed under: Ovis aries (sheep)
Lineage: Eukaryota; Metazoa; Chordata; Mammalia; Artiodactyla; Bovidae
Rfam family: tRNA
About the family: Transfer RNA (tRNA) molecules are approximately 80 nucleotides in length. Their secondary structure includes four short double-helical elements and three loops (D, anti-codon, and T loops).
Source: Rfam by way of RNAcentral